UAGGGAAUCUUCGGCAAUGGGGGCAACCCUGACCGAGCAACGCCGCGUGAGUGAAGAAGGUUUUCGGAUCGUAAAGCUCUGUUGUAAGUCAAGAACGAGUGUGAGAGUGGAAAGUUCACACUGUGACGGUAGCUUACCAGAAAGGGACGGCUAACUACGUGCCAGCAGCCGCGGUAAUACGUAGGUCCCGAGCGUUGUCCGGAUUUAUUGGGCGUAAAGCGAGCGCAGGCGGUUUGAUAAGUCUGAAGUUAAAGGCUGUGGCUCAACCAUAGUUCGCUUUGGAAACUGUCAAACUUGAGUGCAGAAGGGGAGAGUGGAAUUCCAUGUGUAGCGGUGAAAUGCGUAGAUAUAUGGAGGAACACCGGUGGCGAAAGCGGCUCUCUGGUCUGUAACUGACGCUGAGGCUCGAAAGCGUGGGGAGCGAACAGGAUUAGAUACCCUGGUAGUCCACGCCGUNNCGAUGAGUGCUAGGUGUUGGAUCCUUUCCGGGAUUCAGUGCCGUAGCUNACGCAUUAAGCACUCCGCCUGGGGAGUACGACCGCAAGGNU
Molecule: ribosomal RNA, 548 nt
Filed under: uncultured bacterium
Lineage: Bacteria
Description: bacterial SSU rRNA
Rfam family: Bacterial small subunit ribosomal RNA
Source: RNAcentral